UACGUAGGGGGCUAGCGUUGUCCAGAAUCAUUGGGCGUAAAGCGCGCGUAGGCUGCCAGAUAAGUCCGGUGUGAAAGUCAAAGGCUCAACCUUUGAAUGCCGCUGGAAACUGUCUGGCUAGAGUCCGGAAGGGGCGAGUGGAACUCCUGGUGUAGCGGUGAAAUGCGCAGAUAUCAGGAAGAACACCAAUGGCGAAGGCAGCUCGCUAGGACGGUACUGACGCUGAGGCGCGAAAGCGUGGGGAGCAAACAGG
Molecule: ribosomal RNA, 253 nt
Filed under: uncultured bacterium
Lineage: Bacteria
Description: partial 16S ribosomal RNA
Rfam family: Bacterial small subunit ribosomal RNA
Source: RNAcentral